RNAcentral lists this ribosomal RNA (175 nucleotides) under uncultured bacterium. Its description in RNAcentral is "partial 16S ribosomal RNA". It matches the Rfam family "Bacterial small subunit ribosomal RNA", at positions 1326 to 1500 of the family's 1533-position model. The record is from RNAcentral.
UCGGAAUUGCUAGUAAUCGCGGAUCAGCAUGCCGCGGUGAAUACGUUCCCGGGCCUUGUACACACCGCCCGUCACACCAUGAGAGUCGGGGACACCCGAAGCCUGUAGCAUAACCGCGAGGGGUGCGCAGUCGAAGGUGGAUUCGAUGAUUGGGGUGAAGUCGUAACAAGGUACC